GUCCUUUGUUGAAUAGUUACGCCCUGCUUCGGUAGGGUGAGGAAAGUCCGAACACAGCCCCGCUUAGGCGGGGAGAACGGUAGUGGGUAAUACCCAUCUAGAGCAAUCUACGAGGUGCGAGCAGAGACGCCAAUGCCGAAAGGCUAGGGUUCCUGGAUUUAUUCAGGAAUAGUCUCGACGGUAACGUCGAGGGUGAAACGGCUAAAUCCUUACCUCUGUGCAAGAUCGUGCCCUGCUUAGGCAGGGAGAAUCGCUCGAGUCUAAUGGCAACAUUAGGCCUAGAUAAAUUACUAUUUGCAAAACAGAAUUCGGCUUAUAGACAUAGGACCAAA
Molecule: RNase P RNA, 332 nt
Filed under: bacterium
Lineage: Bacteria
Description: RNase P RNA component class A
Rfam family: Bacterial RNase P class A
About the family: Ribonuclease P (RNase P) is a ubiquitous endoribonuclease, found in archaea, bacteria and eukarya as well as chloroplasts and mitochondria. Its best characterised activity is the generation of mature 5'-ends of tRNAs by cleaving the 5'-leader elements of precursor-tRNAs.
Source: RNAcentral